CCCACUGCUAUCGGGAUAGGACUAAGACAUGCUAGUUGAGCGCUUCCAGCCAACACGGGAGCGCAGCGUACAGCUCAGUAACACGUGGCUAAUCUGCCCUUGGGACCGGAACACCCCCGGGAAACUGGGGCUAAUUCUCGAUAGGUGAAGAACUCUGGAAUGAGUCUUUGCCAAAAAGACGUUUACGUUAUGCUCGUAGGCGUCGCCCAAGGAUGAGGCCGCGACCGAUCAGGUUGUUGGUGAGGUAAUGGCUCACCAAGCCUUUUACCGGUGCGGGCCGUGGGAGCGGGAGCCCGGAGAUGGGCACUGAGACAAGGGCCCAGGCCCUACGGGGCGCAGCAGUCGCGAAAACUUUGCAAUACACGAAAGUGUGACAGGGCUAUCCCGAGUGCCAUCCGCUGAGGAAGGCUUUUACCCAGUCUAGAACGCUGGGGGAAUAAGGAGAGGGCAAGUCUGGUGUCAGCCGCCGCGGUAAUACCAGCUCUUCGAGUGGUGUGGAUGUUUAUUGGGCCUAAAGCAUCCGUAGCUGGCUAAGUUAGUCCCCUGUUAAAUCCACCGAAUUAAUCGUUGGAUUGCGGGGGAUACUGCUUGGCUAGGGGACGAGAGAGGCAGACGGUAUUUCCGGGGUAGGGGUGAAAUCCUAUAAUCCCGGGAAUACCACCAGUGGCGAAGGCUGUCUGCUAGAACGCGCCCGACGGUGAGGGAUGAAAGCUGGGGGAGCGAACCGGAUUAGAUACCCGGGUAGUCCCAGCUGUAAACGAGGCAGGCUAGGUGUUUGGACGGCCACGUGCCGUUCUAGUGCCGCAGGGAAGCUGUUAAGCCUGCCGCCUGGGGAGUACGAUCGCAAGAUUGAAACUUAAAAGGAAUUGGCGGGGGGAGCACCACAAGGGGGUGAAGCU
This 899-nucleotide ribosomal RNA is filed under the name uncultured crenarchaeote. RNAcentral's name for it is "bacterial SSU rRNA". It matches the Rfam family "Archaeal small subunit ribosomal RNA", at positions 23 to 896 of the family's 1478-position model. Lineage: Archaea; Thermoproteati; Thermoproteota. The record is from RNAcentral.